Pseudonaja textilis is the source of this 1392-nucleotide non-coding RNA. Lineage: Eukaryota; Metazoa; Chordata; Lepidosauria; Squamata; Elapidae. The record is from RefSeq and is a predicted model, not a curated record.
AAGGUGUGAUACUGAUUUUAAGGAAUAGGGAAUGUUCACAGGGAGGACUUGGGAGGCUUAAAAUUUCAGAAAGAGGACUCGCGUCCUCAUCAUGGCUUGAGCUACAAUUAAAUUAUACAAUCCUAGGAACGAGAUAACGGUUUCUUUGGACGUUUUAUUAUUCUUUUUUUUUUUUUCCCCUCUCCUUUUUAAACAACAUGCAUUCAACGAAGUAGGCAAAAGGCUUCUCCCCACGUUUCGUACAAACCCAGUUUGCUUCGUGAAUUGGACAGACCGCCAUCGCCCCGCUAACAAGCAAAGGGAAAUUGUUAGCCCCCGCCCCCCCCUUCCCCACCUCCCACCUGUCUUUAAAAAUCCCACAAGAAAACGCGAACGGUUAAAGUCUUUUUAAAAAGUGUCGCUUGGACACGGCCUUAAGAAUAAAAAACAAAGUAUUUACAGCCUUACGGGAAGGGGAGAGAGAAAGGAAGGAAUUGGAAGUAGGCCCUGCAGCCCCCAACGUAAAUAUUAUUUCUUCCCCUCUUCCCAAAUCGCUGCGGAGACCCUUGACACACUUCCUGCCUGCCCGCUGUCAGCAUCGUCGAUGCCAACGCGAAGCCGUGACGGGCAUUAACUGACCGCAGUUACCACUCUGUUGACCCUUUAAUGACAGAGGUCUCCAAAGUUGGCACCUUUUAAGACUGGUGGACUUCCAACUCCCCGAAUUCUCCAGCCAGUGCUGGCUGGAGAAUUCGGGGAGUUGGAAACCCACCAGUCUUAAAGUUGCCAACCUUGGAGACCCCCUGCUUCAGUUUCUCGCUUGGGACAGCCUCCCCAGUGUCCAAGCAGUGAAAACAACAACAAAAUCUGAAUUACAGCCUGCAUAUAAUAAUAUUGGUGAUCAUUACUUUUAUCGUUACGAUCCCGUAUCGUCCUAACUUCAUUCUUAGGCGAUUUUUUUUCCCCACAUCUCGCUUUGAGACCUACAAACAAAACCCCACAAUUCUUGUGACGAGAGCCCAGGGGUUCAAAACGAGAUAAGGUGGAGGCUGGACACGCUAUUCUCCACCCCAUGUGGGUAAAAAGAACGGGGUGGGGAUUGGAUUGUGCAGCCGCUGUCUUAACUUUUUUUGUGGGUAGGGACGCGGGGGCAUUACCUGGUUCCAGCUAUUUGAGCUGCCCUUGCGUCCUCUGUGCAAAGGGGCAGCCCUUUCCUUGCCUAGGUACCCCCCUGCCCACCCAGCAAGGGCCAUGCCCACCUCCUCCGACCCUUUAUUCACAUGCUAUCCGUUUAAAAGCUUACACACACCAAACCAGGCUUGUGCGUUCAGAAGUAAAACAGUUAACAGGCACGAUUGAGCGACAAGGAAACCAUGGGGGGGUCUGCAAAGGAUCGGUUGAAGCAGGGCUUCC